UACGUAGGUGGCAAGCGUUAUCCGGAUUUAUUGGGUGUAAAGGGCGUGUAGGCGGGGGCGCAAGUCAGAUGUGAAAACUCAGGGCUCAACCCUGAGCCUGCAUUUGAAACUGUGUUUCUUGAGUGCUGGAGAGGCAAUCGGAAUUCCGUGUGUAGCGGUGAAAUGCGUAGAUAUACGGAGGAACACCAGUGGCGAAGGCGGAUUGCUGGACAGUAACUGACGCUGAGGCGCGAAAGCGUGGGGAGCAAACAGG
Molecule: ribosomal RNA, 253 nt
Filed under: uncultured bacterium
Lineage: Bacteria
Description: partial 16S ribosomal RNA
Rfam family: Bacterial small subunit ribosomal RNA
Source: RNAcentral